This 881-nucleotide ribosomal RNA is filed under the name uncultured bacterium. Its description in RNAcentral is "bacterial SSU rRNA". It matches the Rfam family "Bacterial small subunit ribosomal RNA", at positions 8 to 916 of the family's 1533-position model. The record is from RNAcentral.
AGAGUUUGAUCCUGGCUCAGGACGAACGCUGGCGGCGUGCCUAACACAUGCAAGUCGAGCGGGAGACUUCGGUCUCCAGCGGCGGACGGGUGAGUAACACGUGGGUAACCUGCCUUGUAGAGGGGGAUAGCCUUCCGAAAGGAAGAUUAAUACCGCAUAACAUUAUGCUAUCGCAUGAUAGUAUAAUCAAAGGAGCAAUCCGCUACAAGAUGGACCCGCGGCGCAUUAGCUAGUUGGUGAGGUAACGGCUCACCAAGGCGACGAUGCGUAGCCGGCCUGAGAGGGUGAACGGCCACAUUGGAACUGAGACACGGUCCAGACUCCUACGGGAGGCAGCAGUGGGGAAUAUUGCACAAUGGGCGAAAGCCUGAUGCAGCAACGCCGCGUGAGUGAUGAAGGCCUUCGGGUUGUAAAGCUCUGUCUUCUGGGACGAUAAUGACGGUACCAGAGGAGGAAGCCACGGCUAACUACGUGCCAGCAGCCGCGGUAAUACGUAGGUGGCAAGCGUUGUCCGGAUUUACUGGGCGUAAAGGAUGCGUAGGCGGAUGCUUAAGUCAGAUGUGAAAAUCCCGAGCUUAACUUGGGAACUGCAUUUGAAACUGGGUAUCUAGAGUGCGGGAGAGGAGAGUGGAAUUCCUAGUGUAGCGGUGAAAUGCGUAGAGAUUAGGAAGAACACCAGUGGCGAAGGCGACUCUCUGGACCGUAACUGACGCUGAGGCAUGAAAGCGUGGGGAGCAAACAGGAUUAGAUACCCUGGUAGUCCACGCCGUAAACUAUGAAUACUAGGUGUGGGAGUUGUCAUGACUUCCGUGCCGCAGUUAACACAAUAAGUAUUCCGCCUGGGGAGUACGGUCGCAGAUUAAAACUCAAGGAAUUGACGG